RNAcentral lists this ribosomal RNA (1399 nucleotides) under uncultured archaeon. RNAcentral describes it as "bacterial SSU rRNA". It matches the Rfam family "Archaeal small subunit ribosomal RNA". The record is from RNAcentral.
GGUCGCUGCUAUUGGAGUUCGAUUAAGCCAUGCAAAUCCAGGCCUCGUAAGAGACCGGCAGACUGCUCAGUAACACGUCGCUAAUCUGCCCUAUGGUCUGGGAUAACCUCGGGAAACUGAGGAUAAUACCGGAUAGGGAAUUGUUUCUGGGAUGAUCUUUUCCUGAAAAGCAAUGCCAUAGGAUGAGGCGGCGGCCGAUUAGGUUGUUGGCGGGGUAAAGGCCCACCAAGCCUUUGAUCGGUACGGGCCAUGAGAGUGGGAGCCCGGAGAGGGGUACUGAGAUACGGACCCCAGCCCUACGGGGUGCAGCAGGUACGAAACCUCAGCAAUGCACGAAAGUGUGACUGGGGAACUCCAAGUGCUCAUGCAAAGCAUGGGCUUUUGCCAAAGGUAAGUACUUUGGCGAAUAAGUGGUGGGUAAUACUGGUGCCAGCCGCCGCGGUAACACCAGAGCCACAAGUGGGGAUCGCCAUUACUGGGCCUAAAGCGUUCGUAGCCGGCCGGGUCAAUCUCCUGUGAAAUCGCAGCGCUCAACGUUGCGGCGUGCAGGAGAGACUGCCCGGCUCGGGACCGGGAGGCGUAUGAGGUAUUCCAGGGGUAGCGGUAAAAUGCGAUAAUCCCUGGAGGACCACCUGUGGCGAAGGCGUCAUACGAGAACGGAUCCGACGGUGAGGGACGAAAGCUAGGGGAGCAAACCGGGUUAGAUACCCGAGUAGUCCUAGCAGUAAACCCUGCGAGCCAGGUGUCACGCAUUCUACGGGAGUGCGUGGUGUCGUAGAGAAGUCGUUAAGCUCGCCGCCUGGGAAGUACGGUCGCAAGGCUGAAACUUAAAGGAAUUGGCGGGGGAGCACUACAAGGGGUGCGGCGUGCGGUUUAAUUGUAUUCAACACCGAGCAUCUCACCAGGAGCGACGGCAGAAUGAAGGUCAGUCUGAAGGGCUUACCUGACGAGCCGAGAGGUGGUGCAUGGCCGUCGUCAGCUCGUGCUGUGAAGUGUCCUGUUAAGUCAGGCAACGAGCGAGACCUAUGCCCACAAUUGCCAGCGAGCAGCGUGCUGUGAUCGGGCACUUUGUGGGGACUGCCUGGGAAACCAGGAGGAAGGUGUGGGCUACGGUAGGUCUGUAUGCCCCGAAUCUUCUGGGCUACACGCGCGCAACAAUGGUCGAGACAAUGGGCUGCGACGCCGGAAGGCGGAGCUAAUCCUCUAAACUCGACCUUAGUACGGAUCGAGGCUUGCAACUCGGCCUCGUGACGCCGGAAUCCCUAGUAAUCGGACGUCAUCAUCGUCCGGUGAACAUGUCCCUGUUCCUUGUUCACACCGCCCGUCAAACCACUCGAGCAGGGUCUGAAUGAGGCGCACCUUAUUGGGUGCGACGAAUUUAGGCUCAGUGAGAUGGGUU